AUUGAACGCUGGCGGCAUGCCUUACACAUGCAAGUCGAACGGUAACAGGUUAAGCUGACGAGUGGCGAACGGGUGAGUAAUAUAUCGGAACGUGCUCAGUCGGGGGGGAUAACUGCGCGAAGGAUCAGCUAAUACCGCAUACGACAAGAGGGUGAACGCGGGGGAGCGCAAGACCGCGCGCGAUUGGAGCUGCUGAUAUCAGAUUAGGUAGUUGGUGGGGUAAAAGCCUACCAAGUCAACGAUCUGUAGCUGGUCUGAGGGGACGACCAGCCACACUGGGACUGAGACACGGCCCAGACUCCUACGGGAGGCAGCAGUGGGGAAUUUUGGACAAUGGACGCAAGUCUGAGCCAGCGAUGCCGCGUGCGGGAAGAAGGCCUUCGGGUUGUAAACCGCUUUUGUCAGGGAAGAAAAGGUUCUGGUUAAUACCUGGGACUCAUGACGGUACCUGAAGAAUAAGCACCGGCUAACUACGUGCCAGCCGCCGCCGUAA
This 493-nucleotide ribosomal RNA is filed under the name uncultured bacterium. RNAcentral describes it as "partial 16S ribosomal RNA". It matches the Rfam family "Bacterial small subunit ribosomal RNA", at positions 30 to 523 of the family's 1533-position model. The record is from RNAcentral.